AGAGUUUGAUUAUGGCUCAGAACGAACGCUGGCGGCAUGGAUUAGGCAUGCAAGUCGAACGGUGUAGCAAUACACAGUGGCGGAAGGGUGAGGAACACGUGAAUAAUCUGCCCUCAAGUUGGGAAUAACUUUCCGACAGGAAAGCUAAUACCGAAUGUGGUUGUUUUUAUCGCAUGAUAGGACAACUAAAGAUUUAUCGCUUGAGGAUGAGUUCGCGUCCCAUUAGCUAGUUGGCGGGUAACGGCCCACCAAGGCAGAGAUGGGUAGCUGGUCUGAGAGGAUGAUCAGCCACACUGGGACUGAGACACUGCCCAGACUCCUACGGGAGGCUGCAGUCGAGAAUUCUUUUGCAAUGCGCGAAAGCGUGAACAAAGCAAUGCCGCGUGCCGGAUGAAGGUCUUCGGAUUAGUAAACGGCUGUCACGUCGGGAACGAAAAUGACGGUACCGAGGGAGGAAGCCACGGCUAACUACGUGCCAGCCGCCGC
This 486-nucleotide ribosomal RNA is filed under the name uncultured bacterium. RNAcentral describes it as "bacterial SSU rRNA". It matches the Rfam family "Bacterial small subunit ribosomal RNA", at positions 8 to 518 of the family's 1533-position model. The record is from RNAcentral.